CUUGUUGGUAAGGUAACGGCUUACCAAGGCUAAGACGGGUAGCUGGUCUGAGAGGAUGAGCAGCCACACUGGAACUGAAACACGGUCCAGACUCCUACGGGAGGCAGCAGUAGGGAAUCUUGCGCAAUGGGCGAAAGCCUGACGCAGCGACGCCGCGUGAGCGAUGAAGGCCUUCGGGUUGUAAAGCUCUGUGGGGAGAGACGAAUAAGGCAUGGCUAACAUCCAUGUCGAUGACGGUAUCUCCUUAGCAAGCACCGGCUAACUCUGUGCCAGCAGCCGCGGUAAGACAGAGGGUGCGAACGUUGUUCGGAAUUACUGGGCGUAAAGCGCGUGUAGGCGGCAACGCAAGUCGGGCGUGAAAUCCCACGGCUCAACCGUGGAAGUGCACUCGAAACUGCGUAGCUAGAGUCCUGGAGAGGAAGGUGGAAUGCUUGGUGUAGAGGUGAAAUUCGUAGAUAUCAAGCGGAACACCGGUGGCGAAGGCGGCCUUCUGGACAGUGACUGACGCUGAGACGCGAAAGCGUGGGGAGCAAACAGGAUUAGAUACCCUGGUAGUCCACGCCGUAAACGAUGAGUGCUAGGUGUCACGGGCUUUGACCCUCGUGGUGCCGAAGCUAACGCGUUAAGCACUCCGCCUGGGGAGUACGGCCGCAAGGCUAAAACUCAAAGGAAUUGACG
RNAcentral lists this ribosomal RNA (678 nucleotides) under uncultured delta proteobacterium. Its description in RNAcentral is "SSU rRNA". It matches the Rfam family "Bacterial small subunit ribosomal RNA", at positions 245 to 915 of the family's 1533-position model. Lineage: Bacteria; Deltaproteobacteria. The record is from RNAcentral.